GAUGAAGAACGCAGCGAAAUGCGAUAAGUAGUGUGAAUUGCAGAAGUACCGUGAAUCAUCGAAUCUUUGAACGCAAAUUGCACUCUCUGGUAUUCCGGGGAGUAUGCCUGUUUGAGGGUCGCCUAACAAACCAUCGAUUUCGUUGCUUUUUUUUUUUUUAAAAGGGUAAUGUUUAUCGGAUUUGAGCCGUCUUUUUUUUUUAUAUUUAAGUGGCUUAAAAUUGAUUUUUUUGGUAUGAUCGAAGCGUAUUUUAUGAUCAAUUUUUGGUUAAAGAAACGCAUACGCGUACCGUUAUUUGUAUGAUGUAAUACGUUUGACUAUUGGAUUUAGUUCAUUCGUAUACGAUAUUUUUCAAUAUUUGACCUCAAAUCAGGUAAGAACACCCGCUGAACUUAAGCAUAUCAAUAAGCGGAGGA
Molecule: unclassified non-coding RNA, 416 nt
Filed under: soil metagenome
Description: partial contains 5.8S ribosomal RNA, internal transcribed spacer 2, and large subunit ribosomal RNA
Rfam family: 5.8S ribosomal RNA (bases 1-121)
Source: RNAcentral